CGCUAAGAGUGUGUGGCAACUAUGAAGCACCUAUGAAGCAGCAAAAGAUGAUUUCAGCCAGGUUUGAUUCAGAGUUGACAGGAACUUUGCAAACUGCUUA
Notechis scutatus (mainland tiger snake) is the source of this 100-nucleotide non-coding RNA. NCBI's taxonomy places the organism in Eukaryota, Metazoa, Chordata, Lepidosauria, Squamata, Elapidae. The record is from RefSeq and is a predicted model, not a curated record.